UUUUCCUCCUCUAUUCUCUCUCAGGCACUCUCAAAUCCUAAAGCGGCAUCACUCAAAAACUCCCCAAACACCUUCGAUUCUUGACCAGAUAUGGGGUCAUCUGGUGAUUUAUUGCCUUAUCUAGCCUCUCACCUCUUCUGGUUGUUCGAUUAUGUUGAUUUAUAAAAGAAUCUCGAAGAGCUUCAACUCAGAUUUUCUUCAAAACCUUUUCAUAAGCUACCUAUGGCCAUCUUCAUUUGUGAGUACCAUUAUCUUCGUGUUUAUUACUCGAAUCUGUAGUUUUAAACCAGCUUUUCUUUCAUCUAUGCCAUUUUUUAAAAGCCUAAUCUUAUUCUACUUGGGUCUGUUCAGAUCCUUGUAGAUCUGAAAUGUUUAAGUGUUAUUUGGUCUUUCUCUUUGAAAAACCUUAUGUUUUUCCUUAUUACUAGUUGAUCCAUUGUGUUCUGAAAUUAGGGUUUUGUUUUAAGCUCUUUCCUAAAAGGUUUUAAAACUCCUAAGUGUUU
RNAcentral lists this long non-coding RNA (503 nucleotides) under Nicotiana benthamiana. RNAcentral's name for it is "long non-coding RNA (NBEN_LNC022956)". The record is from RNAcentral. Lineage: Eukaryota; Viridiplantae; Streptophyta; Magnoliopsida; Solanales; Solanaceae.